This is a non-coding RNA of Callithrix jacchus (white-tufted-ear marmoset), 10765 nucleotides long. Lineage: Eukaryota; Metazoa; Chordata; Mammalia; Primates; Cebidae. The record is from RefSeq and is a predicted model, not a curated record.
GGAGAAAUACCUAAUAUAGAUCAGGGGGAUGGAUGCAGCAAACCACCAUGGCAUGUGUACACCUAUGUAACAAACCUGCACAUUCUGCACAUGUACCCCAGAACUUAGAGUAUAAUAAAAAUAAAUUAAAAAAAAAGUCCUACCCACAUUUAAACAAAAAUGUGAAGCAAGACACAUCACUUCCUAGUAUUAUGCUAUAAACAGGUGAUAAAGGUUGAGGGGUUAUUCUCCAGUGAGGAAUCCAGUCCAAACCCACAGACCAGCUCAUAACCAACCAGCUGAGUCCAAAACAACUAGAUCUUUUUUGACAAUUGCCAUCCAAACCAGAGUGCAAUGAAAUGAGUUGUGUACCUCCCCUCUUCAAAUUCAUAUGUUGAAUUCUUGUGUCAGUUUGCUGAGAAUGACGGUUUCUAGCUUCAUCCAUGUCCCUGCAAAGGACAUGAACUCAUCCUUUUUUAUGGCUGCAUGGUAUUCUACAGUGUAUAUGUGCCACAUUUUCUUUAUCCAGUCUAUCUUUGAUGGGCAUUUGGGUUGGUUCCCAGUCUUUGCUAUUGUGAACAGUGCUACAAUAAACAUAUGUGUGCAUGUGUCUUUAUAACUGAAUGUUUUAUUUUCCUUUGGGUAUAUACUCAGUAAUGAGAUUGCUGGGUCAAAUGGUAUUUCUAUUUCCAGAUCCUUGAGGAAUCGCCACACUGUCUUCCACAAUGUUUGAACUAAUUUAUACUCCCACCAACAGUGUAAAGUGUUCCUAUUUCUCCACAUCCUCUCCAGCAUCUGUUGUCUCCUGAUUUUUUUAAUGAUUGCCAUUCUAACUGGUGUGAGAUGGUAUCUCAAUGUGGUUUUGAUUUGCAUUUCUCUAAUGACUGGUGGUGAUGAGUUUUUUUCCAUAUAUUUGUUGGCUGCAUAAAUAUCUUCUUUUGAAAAGUGUCUGCACAUAUCCUUUACCCACUUUUGAAUGGCGUUGUUUUUUCUUGUAAAUUUGUUUAAGUUCUUCAUAGAUUCUAGUUAUUAGCCCUGUAUCAGAUGGGUAUGUUGCAAAAAUGUUUUCCCAUUCUGUUGGUUGCCGGUUCACUCUAAUAAUAGUUUCUUUUGCUGUGCAGAAGCUGUGGACUUUAAUUAGAUCCCAUUUGUCAAUUUUGGCUUUUGUUGCCAAUGCUUUUGGUGUUUUAGUCAUGAAGUCCUUGCCUAUGCCUAUGUCCUGAAUGGCAUUGCCUAGGUUUUCUUCUAGGAUUUUUAUGAUGUUAGGUCUUAUGUUUAAAUCUUUAAUCCUGCUUCACAUUGUUAUGUGCCAAGUGCUAAUUGUGGAGGACCUGUUCUCCCUUCACUCUCUUAGGCCUUAGUCAUUAGGUAUUCGUUGUCAAUCCUUAUGGCUUCCUUCACCCAGUUCUUGUAGGUCCUCUCAGGGCAUUGUUACACUCUGCUGAUUUCCCUUUGCUGCUGUCAUCAAAUACAUAUUCUGGACAAGGGGGCUCCAUAAUAAGCUUCAACAGCAGCCCUGUAUUCAUGAUACAUCAUUGGUCACAAGUGAGGCUGGAGGAGAAGUCAUCUGCUGAGGAAGUAAGCACACGACCUGUCAUCAAGGAGUAAGCAUUUGGGCAAGAUUGAAAUCCAACUCUAAACUUCAUCACACAUCACCAUCAAGUUGCAUUCCUGAACAUGCACUGUAUUCCAUUCCUCCUGAGACCUUGGAAUGUUAUCCGCGAAGGACAGCAGGCAAGGUAGUACAUGUGAGAACAAUUGUUGACCAUGAAAUACUUUAUUCAGAAAGGAGUAGUAAUGGCAAAAAGAAUCUUUUUAGCAGCCACGCUUUCCCUUAGGGGAGAAAGCUCAGCAGUUGGUUUGCUCAGAUGGUUCACUGAAGGCAGAUGAAUUGGCACUUUGCAGCUGAGGGCCAAUGCAGGCUCACAGAAGUGGCUUCUCUCUGCAGGCUGAUUUGGGGCUCCCAACAGGGCCCAAAACCCAGCAAUCAGCACCUGUCUCUUAAUUCUGGGCAACGAACAAAUCCCAUCCCAGUGUGCUGAGAGCGCCCUCUAGUGCCCAGCAACUUCCUCAACAAUGGAGUGUAAAGACCUUUAAGGAACUUCACCAGAAGGAACUUGAAUUUCAAGCCUAACCUGAAGCUUAUUAUUUAAGGAAACAGACAUAUUUUAUCAAAGAAAUUGUUGUAUUAGAAAACAUUUAGACUGUAAAAGCAUUCUCCAAAGGAAACCAAAGAUUUAACUACAGUGAUUCAUCUACUUUAAGUCCACAACAACAAAAUAUUAAUUUAACAACACAAACAGCAUGCUCUUUAGCUCUUUGAAGGAUGGCAAUGAGGAAAACUGAAAAAUAAUGAUCUAGCAAUUACUGGCUGAACCACAUUCUAAGAAAUGUUAAGAUAACAGGUGAACAUUCGAAAUUCAAAUUUACCACUUUGGAGGCUGCUUAUUUGCAUGACAGAUGGAUUAUUUGUUUCACAGAAAGGCUUUCUGUCAGCGUGGAUUUGACUGUCAAUAACCCUAACCCCAGCAGAGCUUUAAUUAGAAUGCAAGGGGUUUGUGGGAUCUGUGGGCACUGGGGGAAGAGUGUCUUGAGAUUUUUCUAGGAGUUAAGUACAGGGCCUUUGAGUUACAUCUGAUAUAUAUGGCACAAAUUACAUAAACGUUGGGAUUGCCUGUCACCUAGGACAAGUAUUUGUACACACAGAGUAUGACAUUAAUUCCUGCAGUGAACAACUCUAUAGGCCCUUCAUCCUCAUGUGUCCAUUUCAACGAAGCCCUAUUUGCUGUGCACACACUUUUUUCAAAGACUCUAUUAGUCAAUGUGAAUAUCAAGUUAUAAGCAAGAAAAAAGCAACAAAAUAUAAAGAAAUCCCCAUUACAUCCUUUUUCCCUAUAAUACUUUUCCUUGAUUUUGCUAUAAGCAUUUCUCUGGCAUUCCCACUCCUGACACACAUGAUUAUUAAAUGUUUGUUGUCUCAACUAACUAUGCCAACAGGUUCAUAAAAUCACUUGAUAUGGAGAAAGUGGAAGACUCUGUGAAACUUAUUUACAUUGAACAUGCAAGCAUAAGAAAAGAUUGUUGAGCAACAGGAAUGAGCUAAGAAAGCAGUUGUGAAUUCUGUGUAUGUAAGAUGGAACAAGAUAUUUGUGUGUUAAGUGCCUGGCCGAAUAAAUAAAGAAGAUUCAAAUCAGGUGCAGCUGUUCUUUCUCAGUGCUGUGUGGGUAUUAGAUUCCCUGCAACCAUCUGUGGCCUCAGACCCCACGUUCCUUUGCGUAGGGAGCUCGCAGCCCCUUUUUAGCUGAAUGCAGCUGGGAGCAGGAAGGGUGGAGCAGGCUGGGGUUUGACUCAGCAGCUGUGGGCGAGACCCUGCACACUCUAUCUUGAGGACUGUGAUAAAGGUUAAAAAUAAAAGAUAGCACUUGAGUGAGCAUCAUAAGGAGUAGCUAUCUAAUUCUAGGGCUUAUUUUUACAAAGCAGCAGCUGACAGUGUCAGCCCAGCUCAUCCCAAAAGUUCUGAGACAGGAAGCUCCUACAUUUGCUAUGACCAAUGUCACUUUAAGAGGUCUUGGCAGUUACAUUCUCACUUAAGUUUUCCUUCUGCAACAAUGAUAUAUACGGAGGAUUAGAAGAUACUUCAAAAGGUUACCUUUUAUUCAUACCCACUUAAAAACUAAACCCACUAAAUCAACUUCCUGUCUCCUUUCUCAAACAUGUAUAGAGUGCCACCACGUGUCAGGCACAGUGCUGGGUGCUGCCAUUCACAGGUGCAGACCCCACAGGGUCUUUUCCCUCAGAGCUGGUGGAGGUUGUAGGGUAGCCUGUGCUCAGUCCUGGAUCUGUCUCUUGAGGACCAGUUCUUCUUUGGCCAUGGAGAAUGAGCAGAGCAGCAUCUAACAAUGGACAGGGUGCCCUCUCAGCUUCUCUGUCUUCACGAGUGACUGCCACACAUUUUAUUUUAUUUAUUUAUUUAUUUAUUUAUUUUUGUCUUUAGAGUAGAAUAAUUUAUAAUCCUUUGGGUGUAUACCCAGUAAUGAGGUUGCUGGGUCAAAUGGUAUUUCUGGUUCCAAAUUCUUUUUUUUUUUUUUUUUUUUGUGAUUAAAAUCUUUUCUUCUUUUUUUUUUCUUUUUCUAUUUCUUAUUUAUUAUUUUUUUUAAAGAGGGAAAAAGAGAAAAAGAAGGGGAAAAAAAGAAAAAGAGGGAAAAAGGAAUAUUACUUCAUUCAUAAAAUGGGUUUCAAUAAUGGCUGAUCAAUAUUUUGAGUGUUUAAAGUGGUUAAUGCAUAUUUUAUGUGUUUAAAAUGGAGACCUCUAUUGUGUUUAUUUGUUCUGGCUCUGAGUUCAAGUCCUGGAUAUUGUUAUCAAUUUGUUGUCUCGUUGAAUCUAAAUCUCAUUAUGCCACACAUUUUAAACUAGAACUCUUUUGACAUAUUUAGCACCUAACAGAUGGUGCAAGAAUUCUGGGCACCUUUUCUUUUCUGUUUGGGUGGGGAGGACAGGCCUGUGACAAAUGCGAGCAUAUUUGGGGAGGUGGGGAAAUAUAGGAAAGAGGGAGGCCAGUCUCUUUUCCCUAUUUUGGAAAAAUAAGCAUUUUUCAUAGAAACCCGAUAUUUUCAUGAGACUCUUUUUAAAAAAGAAAUGCUUUAACAUGAAAAAAGUUAUAGAUACAUUAAAGUAGAUAUAGUAGUGUGAUAAAUCCCAUGUACAUUUUGUUCAGCUCUAAUGAUUUGCGGCAUGUGGCCUGAUUUUGUUUUACAAACAUCCCCUCCCCUGUAUUGUUUUGAAGCAAACUUGAUAUUAUUAUUAUUAUUAUUAUUUUCUUGAGAUAGAGUUUUGCUCUGUCACCCAGACUGGAGUGCAGUGGCACAAUCUCAGCUCACUGCAACCUUUGCCUCCUGCGUUCAAGCUAUUUUCCUGCCUCAGCCUCCUGAGUAGCUGGCAUUACAGGUGUGCGCCACCAUACCCAGCUAAGUUUUGUAUUUUUCAUAGAUAUGAGGUUUCACCAUGUUGGCCAGGCUAGUCUCAAACUCCUGACCUCAUGAUCUGCCCACCUCAGCCUCCCAAAGUGCUGGGAUUAUAGGCAUGAGCCACCGUGCCUUGCUGUUAUGUUAUUUCAUCUGUAAAUAUUUCAAUAUGUAGUUUUAUAGAUAAUGAUUCCUUUUUAAAAAGUAACCACUAAAGAAAAAAAUUCACGAGUUCAUAUGUUAAAACUUAAUCACCCAUGUGCUAGUAUUAAGAUGACAGGUGUUUAGAAGGUGGUUAAAUCCUGAGGGCAGAGCCAUCCCGAAAGGAAUUAGAGUCCUUAUAAAAGAGUUUGAGGGAGUAGGUUUGUUCUCUUCUGCUCUUCUGCCAGGAGGACACAGCUUUCAUCCCCCUUUCUGCCCUUCUGUCCCUCCCACCAUGUCAGGACACAGUGGAUUCAAGCAGGGUCUUGAAGGCUGUGUUCUAAUUAAAGAGGUGGAAAAGAAGGGGAAUGAAAUUAUACACAACGUUGAAGAUCAGCUUCUACUCUUCAUGUUAUCGUAUAUAAUUUUGAAAAAAAUCCUUUAAUCCCUUUGGAAAUCCAUUUUCUUAUAUGUAAGAUGGGAAUGAUGAAAUCUGUGUUGGAGGGCGCUUAUAAGGAUUAAUGGGAAAGCCCCAAGUAUUGGUGAGAAUGAAUUUCUUUGCAAGUGAUGUUAAUAACUUAAUUAAGAUAUAACAUGUAAGGAGGCUGAGGCAGAAGAAUCACUUGAACCCAGGAGAUGGAGGUUUCGGUGAGCUGAGAUCGAAUCACUGCCCUCCAGCCUAGGUGACAGGGCGAAACUCCGUUUCAAAAAAGAAAAAAAAGAUAUAACAUAUAACAUCUCUUCAGUGGUUAGUAUAUGAAGCUGACAAACCUCCUUUCUCCACAACAUCAACUCUCAUCUGGUGAUGCCCUCUGUCUUGCUCCUGUUGGUUGAAGAUGGGAGAAGUCUUGCAUUUGUACAUCCUUGUGCAGGGGACCACAGAUGGGUGUUCUGUCAUUCUGGUAACUAUAAAUUGCCCAGUUGACUGGCUGACUUUCAAGGGAGAAGGGAACUGAACUGUCUCCCCGUCCUCUGCACGCACUUUGUUGUUUUAAGUCUGCACCUUUACUUGCUGCUGCCUCCACUGCUUGGAAUGUGCCAUCUUCUCAGCCUCAGCUGGUCAGCAGUCACUGGGUCAGUAAGAGUCAGCUGAGGUUUUGCUCUGUGAACUUUCCCUGACCUCAUUUUGACCUCCUAGGCUGGCUGAGGUUCCCCUUUUCUGUGCUCCCAUGCUGUACUGGGUAUUGCGCUCUUCAGUGCACAAUUAUCACACCAUACUACAAAGACCUGCCUCUCCCUGGGCUCACCGGGCCUUCAAGACGGGCACAUAGCACUCACUCAUGACAUGGUUGUUGAAUGAAUGAAUGGCCUUUCUCCAUUCCCUCACAGUCCUAAUUUCACCCCCCUCUGGGCACCAUCAUUCCUUCUCAUUGUGCAUUGUUUAUGGCUUGUUAGUUAUUAAUACAAAGCCAUUUCCUGGUCUGGCCAUUAGUAAUGUCUCUAGGUGUUAAUAAUAACACCGGCUCACAUCUACUGAGCACUUACUAUUUGGCUGCCCUGUUCUAAGCACUUUGCAUGUAUAAACUCCUUUGAAUGUUCCUUCUUUGCCUUUAUUCCUGUUAGGGACUUGUUGCAUUGAACUUAGCACAGAAAGUCAACACCAGAACAAAAGUAUGCCAAAUUGCAGGGUUUAUUGCCGGCGACCACGGAGGACUCACUCCAACCCGUGGCCCCGAAUGAAAAGAAACAAGACCUUUUUAUACCCGCAAAACCACCUUGGGAGUGGGGGUGGAGAUGGGAAUGAAAGCUGUCAAUCACCUCCCAGGCUAAGACGAGGGUGAGGGGCUUCAGACAUUCCGAGGGCCAGUGGAUUCAAAUCACCUUCUGGGUGGAGAGGAGGGUGAGGGGGUUCCGGACAUUUCGAGUACCAGGGGACUAUUUGACAUUCUGAUUGUUAUUUAAGGGUUCACAGAUGCUAAGAUUAGCAUUCAUUUACACAUCGUCUGGGUAGGGUGGGAUCCAUAGAUUUUCAGUUGCUUGGCGCCAGGAUGGAAUGAUCUGGGGGUGCUUACUCUGGGAAACAAAGGCCAGCAAUUCUGGCAGAUAAGAGAAGAUGUGCAGCUUUACCUCUCUUUGCAUCCUGCAAAUGAUCUAGCAAUUUACAGAAAUCAAGAUUAGCAGUCCUUGAGGAGAAUGGAAACAUUUUUGUCUUUUAUAAGAUGGCAGUAUACAGGUUCCAACUUAAGUUAGCUAUAUCACAGACUAACCUUAACAUUGUGAGGGGUAGUGUUCUGGUAGAGCCGUAGAACUGGAACGUGGCUUUAUUGUCCUAAGAUGCAGGACAGUAAGUCCUGCUGUGGAAUACAAGUUGACUACGUCUGUCAUCAUCAAAUACUGGAAGAUAUGGCUGGGGAAAAACCAGAAAGUACUCGACAUUUGAUCUCCUCUUAGUGCAAUGACAUGAUAGCUUUAUUUUGUUUUGUUUUUUUUCUUUAUGUGUAGUUUUAAAUUACUGUACUAUGUUUCGGGUACUCAGGCCAGGAGAACAAAUUGGGAUGAACGAUUGUAUUUACAUUUCAGUUUACUAGAGGUAGUCUUGAAAGAGUUAUAAAAAUGUGAAUAUCAGUGUGGAAAAAAAUACGGGAGGUUUUCAAUCGUUUUUUUUCAAAAAUGAUAAAUUGGCAAGGAAGACAGAUUUGGGAAGGUCAGUCAUGGGAAUUCGUCUUUCAGUGAAUCCUUCUUGGCUGGGAAGAAAAGCUUUUCUUCUGUUUAGUUGGGAACAGUGGCAAGGAUUAUUUUACCUGAGGAUGGCAGAUUAUUUUACCAGCAGCUGGCAGAUGAGAAGAAUUCCCUGGACAACAAGGAGGGGCAGGAUGGAAUGGAAGGAACCUGCAUAACUUCAGAAGGUCUGGGGUUCAGACAAUGCUGCUUACCAGCUCUUAGCCUUCAUUAAAUUGCUUAUCAUUCCUGGAGGUGCAGUUUCCUUAUCCAUAAAAUGGGGUCGCGUUGCCAAAUUUAGCAAAUAAAAUUCUAGGCUGCCCAAUAUUUCAGAAAAAUAAUUUUUUAAGUAUAAAUAUGUUCCAUAAAAUAUUUAUGUCCCAUGCAAUAAAUAUGUCACUAAUGGUGCAUGGGACAUAUACUAAAACAUUAUUUGUUGUUUAUCUGAAAUUCAGAUUUAACGGUGUGUCCUAUAUUUUAUCUGGCAACCCUAAAUGGGGCAGGGGCAGUGGUGGUGGCAUGAGUAAUUCUCUUGUAGAGGUGGUGCGAGGGUAAAAUGAUACCACUGUUAGGUUUUAUCACAGCGUGUAGUCUGCGUGUAGUCAACACAUAAGUAGUGGCUGUAACAUAACUGGUGUAUAGUCAAAAACAAAUGGAUAUUAUUAGUAUAAUAGUUAUUAUUAAUAAAGGUCUUUAUUAAUAAAGGCAACCAGCCAUACAGGGAGCCUUUGGGGAAAAGUUUCUGACUCUAAACUAAGGGAAGGUAAUAUGAUCAACAUCUGGGAAUAUUUAGACUUAGUAAUAAUUCGGGGAAGAGGGAGACAGCAUAUUUAACUUUACCUUUUUUUUUGAGUGGGAGUCUCACUCUGUACGCAGGCUGGAGUGCAGUGGCCCGAACUCAGCUCACAGUAGCCUCCACCUCUUGGGUUAAGCAGUUCUCUGCCUUAGCCUCCUGAGUAGCUGGGAUUACAGGAGUGUGCCACCACACCCAGCUCAUUUUUGUAUUUUUAGUAGAGAGGGUGGUUCGCCAUCUUGGUCAGGCUGGUCUUGAGCUCCUGACCUCGUAUCCACCUGACUUGGCCUCCCAAAGUGCUGGGAUUACAGGCAUGAGCCAUCCCGCCCAGCCUUAACUUUAUCUUAAAGAAACAUAAAGCCGGAUGAUAGUCUAAUGGCAAGGAAACAAGGCCUUUACUGUCACCUGGUGGCCAUAUGCUUUAACUGCAAUGUGCCUAAGUGCGGCUGUUGAGGAAAGCAUUGGAAAAUCUACUAAAUCCAGAAGGCACCAAGGCUGUGUCAUGACAGAAAUAGUAGUGAACUACUGUGUCCUUCCCCGCAGUUCCCUCUCUCUCACAGCUUGAGAAUCAGCAGUUGGCUGCGAGAGGCAGAGGAGAGAAGAUGGCAAAGUCCAUGCCUUCCUCUUUGGUACCGAGUUUCCAAACCUGAAGUGAAGGAGCCUGAGCGGGGAGCAGUUUUUCACUGUGUUUUUAAAGAGCCUCUUUAUUUAAUGGCUCAGAGUGGCUAGAAAAUCCAUGCUAUUGCUUAGCUUUCAUCUCAAGUGCAGGGACAAGGCAAAUCCAGAGAGAGGAGAUGAAAGGACAAAGAAAAAAGAAAAAAAAUGUGCCGUUUACUGCAUUUUGCUGCAUGUAGUUCACUCAGUAAACAUGUUUUAAAUGCAUAAAUAAAUGAUGAGGUAAAAGCCGGGGGAAAGGCAGUGAGCGAUACCCAGAGAGGACAGGCAAACUGCAUUCCCUUUGGACCGCAGCCUCUCAUCCCUCCCCUAUACACAAACCAAGGUCAAAAUCAGGAGGGAGUCCAGGGGAGAGUUAUCAGUAGGGUUAGCUCUAGGAUUCAUAGUAAAUCUAUUUGAAAAAAAUCUUAAAAAACUCUUAAGUCCAUUAUAGCCAGGAUAUAAAGCAAUCCUGGCCUCCUGACCCUGACCCAGCCACUGUGGCAAGUAGGGCCACUUCCUUUCAUUCUCCCCUGUGUCCUCCUGGAUCUCUCCAAGCCUUCUCUUCUGCAGGGAAGGGCGGAAGCUGGUUCCAUCAGUGCCUCUUCCCCAGCUUCCACUCUCCUCUCUCUUCUGUGACCUCUCAGUUUUCCUUCUCUGUAUCCCAAAUCAUGCCCGUCUGUUGCUGUAAUGGAAUAUUACAUCAUCCAUCAUCUGUUGCUGUAACGGAAUACUACAGACUGGAUAAUUUAUAAAGUAUGAAAGUUUUCAAGACGCCUACAAGUGGAAAAUGCACUCCUCCCAGCCAAAUCAAGCUUCUCCAGAUUCCUUACAGCUGCAUGCUGUGAAAUGACUAAUGAAAGAGCCUUCUGCUACUGGUGGAACUUUCAUAUGUGGCACUAUUGUGCCGCUCAGCAGGACCUGACCCUGGUAUUUACAUACUGGAUGUCACCCCAAAAGCCCCUGACCAGGGGGUUUCCGGGAUGUAAUAAGAAUGCUGCUCUGGGCUUUGGAAGGUGUGCUGUAUGCACGCCCAUACUAUAGGGCAGGGGUUAGCAUUUCAGACCCCCGUUCCUCCCUCGACAAGCAAGUGCUUUUCUCCAGGGAAGAUGUUCAGAUUCAGUCAUAGAGCCACUGGUGCCAUGGGCAGCUCAGUAACAAUAGCCCUGCUGUCUGCCAGCUGUGGUAGAGGUGCUGAGAAUACCUAGAUGAGGAAGUCAGGGGCCCUGUGUGCCUGAGGAGAGCUGGAAGCCUGCUAUGGCAAUGGACACAAACCCUUGGAUAAUUUCCAUUCUUGGCUGUGUGUUCUGUAGCAUAGGUGUGAAGUGGGUGUCCUGGGAGCUCAGAAGAGGGGCCCUUAACUUAUGGGUGGCCAGGGAAGGCUUCCUGGAGCUCAAAUAACUGAGUGGAGUCUUCAGCAGUAAGAAAAUAAAAGUGCCCCCCCCCGUCCCCCACCACACUCCCAGUUAGAAAGGUAAUACACCUCAUUGAAAUGAUUUAAACUUUAUGGAAAUGUGUUCCUUUAAAGUUCGGAGAGUAAAGAGGAAGUAAUAAAGUGCAAAUUGUAGAAUUUCGAAU